CGGAAGUGGGCCUGGGAGGCUAGAUGGGCCCAUGGGGCACUGGAUGAGGGGCAGACGGGCCAGCUGAGAAUGGGCCGCCCGAGGCUUUGCUGAUCCCUGGAUUAGCGACUUCUGUGUGAGGCCCAGCCCAACUCUGCCGGACUCGGGCUCCUUGUUCGUCUUGCAGCCUGGAAGCCAGCGACUCCAUGGGACCCUGGGCAGGGCAGGCCCGCAGGCAGGGAGAAGGGCAAAGAUGAAGAGUGGCAGGGCUCAGGCUACCUGCCUGGGACCCGAGCAGGGAUCGCUGGAGUCCCCCACGCCUGGAGUCCAAAGACUGUUCCCAAUUAGCCUAGGGAGUUUGCAGUCUCUCUCCUUGCAUGGGGCAGGAAGGAAGGGAGCCAGCCAUGGUUCUGCUGCUUGGGAGCGUGGUGCAGAGCUCACAAUGAGACAUUGCAGUGCUCCUGGAAAGGCCUCCACGCCCUCCACCACCCUCAGCCUUCCCCCUUCUCUGGCACGUCCCAUCUGGCUCCCAAGGAGCUUCCCAGGCAGGAGUGAAUCAGUCUUCACUGCUUCCCAGAGAAGCUACAACAACUGCAAAGCUCGGUUAGCUAAGUCCAGCUUGGAGCACCGCCACCAUCCCGUCAACUCUGCUCAUCGGCCUCAAAGCCAUGACCACUAUGUAGGCUUCCCAAAGGUUUGUUCCCCUGGUAGAAUUUAGUCUGUUUCCACUGGCUGAGCAGCAAGGUGAUGCUGCCUAAGAUAGGAGACGGACCGUUUGUGCCACUGUGGGUGCAGCACAGGAGGCUGCAGGACAGAUGGACGGACAGACGGUUUGUGUUUCUGCUUAACAAC
This 831-nucleotide long non-coding RNA is filed under the name Gopherus agassizii (Agassiz's desert tortoise). Its description in RNAcentral is "lncRNA (ENSGAGG00000009410.1)". Lineage: Eukaryota; Metazoa; Chordata; Testudines; Testudinidae. The record is from RNAcentral.